CCCAAACCACCCUAGUGAAGAAAUGCCCUUGGCAGCAAAUUCCCGUUGAAAGGAAAACAUAAAUUUCUUUAUGAAAUGCAACAGCAGAUCGUGCCAGACUCACAGCUCAGUGACAUGCAAGAGCUCUCAAGGAGAAAAACAAAGGCUUCUGCCAUGGCUGGCUGAAAACAUAAGGGGUACAUAUUGCUCAGAACCUGCACAUCAGAAGCAGAGAGCCAGGGAAAAAGUUUUGCUUGAUUGCAGAGCAAAUAAAAGAAACAGCUUUUUUUGGCACUGUAGAGUUUGGAAAGGAAUGCUUAGAAACUGCAAGGGGUAGCGUCAGUGCUCAGCUGUAAAGGAAACCAAAUACAAUCACUUUUGACUGAUGUUAAUGUAAGAUAAAAGCUUUUUAAUUAUUUUUUUUCCUCAGUAGAAAGAACUAAGCAAAGUCUCAAGUGCCUGAUUAAGCUGAGACAAGAGUUGUUUCAGAAACACUGGCAAAAUCCUUGUUCUGAACAUUUUCAAGCAGCACAUUCAUGCAAAGAAAUGCUUAACUAUAAGGCAAAAUGUAGGCAGUCCUCCUAGAAGGAACUGCAAUACCUGAAGGCUGCAUUAUCAUAAAUAGCUAAAUUCUGGGAAAAGAUCAAAGGUGGAUCCUGAGCUUUUUCUAUUGGUAAAGUGGUAACUCCUCAGCUUUUUCUAUUGGUAGUUUGCAAGAGCCUGUGUCAGCUGCACAGGCUAUGGUGAGAGCUGACAAUAUUUCCAUGUAUUCCCCAGCUUGGCUGGAGAAACAGCCUCUGAAUUCUCUGAGUCACUGCUCACUUACAUCCUGCCCUGCUCCAGCACUUCCUCAUUCACACAGCAGCUCCUUGCAGCAGCAGCACGUCUGGAUCUCAGCACGUGCAGAGGGACACAGGGAGAUCCCACAGAGCCCUCCCUCCCUGUCAGGACAAAGCACCUGCCUCCUGUGGAAGCUGAGCAUCCCUGAACAGCCACCAAAGAUCCAGUCCAGGAGCUGGGACAUGCCCAUGACUGAGCUUUAGUUCAACAACAGGUCACAUGCUUUCAAAACAGCACCUCAAUACCUUGAGGCAAAUCUUCACUUCAGAGCAAGGUGUGGUGCAGAGGUAUCUGUGCUAACAGGAGAUGGAGAAGUGCUGGAGCAUUGCAUGGGCAUGAACUCCACGUGCUGAAGGCCACUUGUUCAUUUCAUCACUCCAAUACUCAAAGAUUCACUCCAAAUUCAGUUCUGUUCUAUACAAAAAGAACACUGGUGAGUGGUGUAAUCCAGCUUUUGCUUGGUGUAGUUGAAGAAUGCAACUUUAUUAGAG
Molecule: long non-coding RNA, 1310 nt
Filed under: Zonotrichia albicollis (white-throated sparrow)
Lineage: Eukaryota; Metazoa; Chordata; Aves; Passeriformes; Passerellidae
Description: lncRNA (ENSZALG00000002464.1)
Source: RNAcentral